CGCAUAUACAAACACUGGGCGAGGCGGCCACAAACUUUUGUCCUCAAAUUAGGGACUACAGUAUUUUAUAUUGAACUUGCACAAAACUCAGGAGUGGCCGUGUAUCUCUGAAUCGUUACCAUUAACAACAGUCAAUAUCGUUUGAUCUACCGCCCGUUGCUGCCACCGUUAAGGCCUCACCAAAUCAAUACAUCAAGCUGGACUCUUGACAAAAUGGGCGCCACUGUUCCCAAAGUUUAUAAAUGAUAGGUGCCUCUACGCAAACUAACCUCUAGGAGUAAAAUGUUGUUAAUAGCACAUUUAAAAACACCGGCAAGACGGCCACAAUCUUUCGUCCUCAAAUUAGGGACUACAGUAUUUUAUAUUGAACUUGCACAAAACCCAGGAGUGGCCGUGUAUCUCUGAAUCGUUACCAUU
Long non-coding RNA from Acyrthosiphon pisum (pea aphid), 417 nucleotides. RefSeq lists it as uncharacterized. The transcript is spliced from 3 exons. NCBI's taxonomy places the organism in Eukaryota, Metazoa, Arthropoda, Insecta, Hemiptera, Aphididae. The record is from RefSeq and is a predicted model, not a curated record.